This is an unclassified non-coding RNA of Acromyrmex echinatior (Panamanian leafcutter ant), 2276 nucleotides long. NCBI's taxonomy places the organism in Eukaryota, Metazoa, Arthropoda, Insecta, Hymenoptera, Formicidae. The record is from RefSeq and is a predicted model, not a curated record.
AAAUUCGUCUGUCCAUCUGGAAGCGGGAGUGACGUAUCCUGAUUCUCUCGACGGCGGAUACAAGGUAGCGAGCAACGAGCAGUCGUGUAUUUUGAAGGAGUUUCCACGUUAACCUCUCGACGGAACUGGAUUUCACCGCACGGGAUUCAGUAUGCUGGCCCUUAUCAAUCGGAUCUUGGACUGGUUCAAGUCCCUCUUCUGGAAGGAAGAGAUGGAACUCACUCUCGUUGGCCUGCAGUACAGUGGAAAGACUACCUUCGUGAAUGUCAUAGCGUCGGGUCAGUUUAGCGAAGAUAUGAUACCAACUGUAGGCUUUAACAUGCGCAAAAUAACCAAAGGUAAUGUCACUAUAAAAGUAUGGGACAUUGGCGGUCAACCAAGGUUUAGAUCUAUGUGGGAGAGAUAUUGUAGAGGAGUAAAUGCCAUAGUUUACAUGGUUGAUGCAGCUGAUUCAGAGAAGAUUGAGGCAAGCCGUAAUGAAUUACACAAUUUAUUGGAUAAACCACAAUUGUCUGGGAUACCAGUGUUGGUUCUGGGUAAUAAAAGGGAUCUACCUCAUGCAUUGGAUGAGAAUGGGCUCAUAGAAAGAAUGAAUCUAUCUGCGAUUCAGGACCGUGAGAUCUGUUGCUACAGUAUUUCGUGUAAAGAAAAAGACAAUAUCGAUAUCACGUUACAAUGGCUCAUAGCGCAUUCAAAAAGUGGAGUUCGUUAAUACUCUUAAAAUCUCCCAUUUGUUAGUAUCGGCGAGACUUUGAUACUGAUAACAGUAUUGGGAUCAAUUGUGAAACGAUCGCAUUGAACAAACUCUGUUCAAAACUGAAGUCAUUAUUGUAGAAAAUUACUCGAGCUUUAGCUAUCUAAGUUGAUUGGUGCGAAUAUGCCGUGGUAAAAUUUAAAAAUCAUGCUUGUAUGCCAAGAAUCUGCUCGUGUGAAUUAUAUCAUAAGGCACUCAUUUCCCGCGAGCACCUUAGUAAUAAGGAACAAUUUUUUAUAUUUUCGUUUUAGAUAAGUCCAAGAAUAUAUUCCAAUACUUAAUAUAACAAUUAAAUGUAAUUAGUAUUUCUGUAUUUUCUAUAAUUACCGCUAUUGUGUAAAGCUGAAAUAAUACCGACAUAAUCGCAGUUAAUUAUUGUGAUAUUAUAGUCUAGAUGUCGAUAAUCUGAUUUUGUCUUGUACCCUUGAGAGAUACCAAACGUUUCAUGUAUAAAUUAGAGAAAAUUGUAGCUAUUACGAAAUACACACGCGCAAAGAUAUCACUAUUAAUAUACUAUUAUAUAUAUAUAUACACCUCGAAAAACUUUAAUAACAAAUAAAAACGACGUAUUGCAAACAUCAUCUUUUUCUUCUUACUUCAAGAAUGUGAUAAUCCUGAGUCAGAUGCUAUUCUCGUGUGUUUAUGUAUAAAGAAUUGUGACGGAGCAUAUAUUUAUCAAAUAUUUCGCAAAAACAAUAGAAAAAAAACAGUUAAUGUCAGUAACGGUGUCAAUCACUAAUAAAAUUUCGACAAAUAGUUCGAAAAGUAUUAUGAGAAGUAUAAAUUCUACUAUAUAAAUGGAUCAAUUUUCUAAAAAAAUUGGAUUGCAGUAGAAUAGAUAAUUUUAUUUACUCUGUAGCGAUACGAGAAAGUGUAUAAACGCUCACAGAUUUUUUUCGCGUUAUUUAUCCUAUAAAUUGAUUUCUUUUCAUUCAUUUCUAUCUACAUAUAAAGUUUUGUAUACGCUUAAAUUUCCCUUGAUCCAAUUUUCUGUAGUUUAAAUUGCUUCUAAUAAAAUGUUUCUAAAUAACUUUGUUCGAUUGGCUGUAUAGUCAGUGACAUAAUUAUGAAAUUGUCACAGAGUUGAAUUGCUUUGUAUACCGUAUGUAUAACGUUAAAAUAUUUCGAUAUUUAUUUAUAUCGAAUUCAAAGUAUGUAGUUUUCAAACAAAUCGUUACAAUUAAAUUUUUCAAUAAUAUACUGUAUAGGGAGGGGAAGAGCUUUUCUAAGUUCAAAUUGCUGAAAUAAAAUUUCAGCGAAAUUGAACUGCGCUUAUAUGACAAUAUGAUAUUUCAUUUUCUAGUGGUGUUUGUUACAGCCAAUUUUUGUUAUAUUUAUUAACUGUACAUGACUCACUCUUUUAGAAAGUGGUCACAAUAUGUAUUAAAUUGUCAGCAAAAAAUCAAUUACAUAUUACAGCAGAAAAAAUCCUCGAGGUCUCGUCAACGAUUUGCGGAUACAUGUACAUGAUAAAGAUAAAAACGAUUAUCGUGUCUCCUAUUUUAUAAUGCAUAUGUUAUAA